This 484-nucleotide ribosomal RNA is filed under the name uncultured bacterium. RNAcentral's name for it is "partial 16S ribosomal RNA". It matches the Rfam family "Bacterial small subunit ribosomal RNA", at positions 29 to 507 of the family's 1533-position model. The record is from RNAcentral.
AUUGAACGCUGGCGGCAUGCUUUACACAUGCAAGUCGAACGGCAGCGCGGGCUUCGGCCUGGCGGCGAGUGGCGAACGGGUGAGUAAUGCAUCGGAACGUGCCCAGUAGUGGGGGAUAGCCCGGCGAAAGCCGGAUUAAUACCGCAUACGACCUGAGGGUGAAAGCGGGGGACCGAAAGGCCUCGCGCUAUUGGAUCGGCCGAUGUCGGAUUAGCUAGUUGGUGGGGUAAAGGCUUACCAAGGCGACGAUCCGUAGCUGAUCUGAGAGGACGACCAGCCACACUGGGACUGAGACACGGCCCAGACUCCUACGGGAGGCAGCAGUGGGGAAUUUUGGACAAUGGGGGCAACCCUGAUCCAGCCAUGCCGCGUGCGGGAAGAAGGCCUUCGGGUUGUAAACCGCUUUUGUUCGGGAAGAAAUACUCUGGGCUAAUACCCCGGGGGGAUGACGGUACCGGAAGAAUAGGCACCGGCUAACUACGUG